UACGGAGGGGGCGAGCGUUAUUCGGAAUUAUUGGGCGUAAAGGGCGCGUAGGCGGCUAGGUAAGUCAAAGGUGAAAUCCCUCGGCUCAACUGAGGAACUGCCUUUGAAACUGCCUAGCUUGAGGCCGGGAGGGGGUGGCGGAAUUCCCAGUGUAGCGGUGAAAUGCGUAGAUAUUGGGAGGAACACCAGUGGCGAAGGCGGCCACCUGGACCGGUUCUGACGCUGAGGCGCGAAAGCGUGGGGAGCAAACAGG
This 253-nucleotide ribosomal RNA is filed under the name uncultured bacterium. Its description in RNAcentral is "partial 16S ribosomal RNA". It matches the Rfam family "Bacterial small subunit ribosomal RNA", at positions 524 to 776 of the family's 1533-position model. The record is from RNAcentral.